Molecule: long non-coding RNA, 1327 nt
Filed under: Felis catus (domestic cat)
Lineage: Eukaryota; Metazoa; Chordata; Mammalia; Carnivora; Felidae
Description: lncRNA (ENSFCAG00000044842.2)
Source: RNAcentral
AUGACAAAAUGUCUCCCUCCUAAGUACUCCACUUCCUCUACCAUGAAAGAGUGGUAUCAACAACGAGGAAACAAGCAGAGAUGGAGUUUCACAGAGGGAAGAGACGAAAAAGGUUUAAUGUCAUACGAGCUUUGGGAGAACUUCCUUGGGAUAGUACGACCAGAAUGGCUGCUCUUGUCCCAAAUCCUGGCUACAGCUAAGAAGAGAAUCACACACAAAGGUAAAAAUCUAAAGUUUCUCCUCAGAUUCUCCAACAACCCCUUUUUUCUCCUCUUUCCUACCUGUGGGCUUCCCUUCUCUCCACACCCAGGUACCAGUGACUUCUGACUGCCAGCACCUCUGUCUACACACUCUUCUCUCCCUUUCUUCCUGUCUCUGCAUAUGAGAAAGUUGGUAUAAGGCAUAGGUAAGUGAAUUCACACCACUGGAUUAUAAACUAGCUCUUCACGGUGAUGUUUCCAGUAUCUACAGAGUAACAUCUGGCAUACGGUAGCCGCUCAACAAAUAUCUGCUGAGUGCAAGACAGAAAAAGUGUGAAUUUCUAAGAGAUUUGUCUACUCUUCAGGGUAUUCACAUAGAGGAAUAACAUAACUACCACCAGUUACUUGCAGCUUAGAAGUCACUUUUACACAUUCAAAGGACAGGAUCUGUGCAUUUUCCAACAGCUCCGUGGUCUAGUUGACGUGUUAUUGUACAGAAGAAACCUCACAAACGACACCAUUUGGGAAACUUUUUCCCUGCUUACACAUGAACCUAAUCCUGCAUACCCAAUCAUUCUCUCUUGCAAAUAGGCCCUUUUGCUCUUUCUUCACAUUCCCACUGAAGUUCUUUUUUUUUUUUUUUUAUUUUUUUUUUCAACGUUUUUUAUUUAUUUUUGGGACAGAGAGAGACAGAGCAUGAACGGGGGAGGGGCAGAGAGAGAGGGAGACACAGAAUCGGAAACAGGCUCCAGGCUCUGAGCCAUCAGCCCAGAGCCUGAUGUGGGGCUCGAACUCACAGACCGUGAGAUCGUGACCUGGCUGAAGUCGGACGCUUAACCGACUGCGCCACCCAGGCGCCCCCCACUGAAGUUCUUCAUGAAGGACAAGAAAAAGUAGGCCUUUCUUUUUCUUUUCUUUUCUUUUCUUUUCUUUUCUUUUCUUUUCUUUUCUUUCUUUUCUUUUCCAUUGUUUUCUUUUCUUUUCUUUCUUCCUUCUUUCUUUUCUUUUCUUUCUUUUCUUUUCUUUCUUUCUUUUUUUCUUUCUUUCUUUCUUUCUUUCUUUUCUUUCUCAAUAGACUGUUCUGGAAUGUUUGGGGAAAAUCUUGGCUUUACACAGCCACUCCCUGU